Molecule: ribosomal RNA, 253 nt
Filed under: uncultured bacterium
Lineage: Bacteria
Description: partial 16S ribosomal RNA
Rfam family: Bacterial small subunit ribosomal RNA
Source: RNAcentral
UACGGGGGGGGUAAGCGUUGUUCGGAAUUACUGGGCGUAAAGGGCUCGUAGGCGGCCAACUAAGUCAGACGUGAAAUCCCUCAGCUUAACUGGGGAACUGCGUCUGAUACUGGAUGGCUUGGAUUCGGGAGAGGAAUGCGGAAUUCCAGGUGUAGCGGUGAAAUGCGUAGAUAUCUGGAGGAACACCGGUGGCGAAGGCGGCAUUCUGGACCGACAUUGACGCUGAGGGGCGAAAGCCAGGGGAGCAAACGGG